RNAcentral lists this ribosomal RNA (305 nucleotides) under uncultured bacterium. RNAcentral's name for it is "bacterial SSU rRNA". It matches the Rfam family "Bacterial small subunit ribosomal RNA", at positions 338 to 659 of the family's 1533-position model. The record is from RNAcentral.
CCUACGGGAGGCAGCAGUCGGGAAUAUUGCACAAUGGAGGAAACUCUGAUGCAGUGACACCGCGUAUAGGAAGAAGGUUUUCGGAUUGUAAACUAUUUUAGACAGGGAAGAAAAAAGACAGUACCUGUAGAAUAAGCUCCGGCUAACUACGUGCCAGCAGCCGCGGUAAUACGUAGGGGGCAAGCGUUAUCCUGAUUUACUGGGUGUAAAGGGAGCGUAGACGGCAUAGCAAGUCUGAAGUGAAAGCCCGUGGCUCAACCGCGGAACUGCUUUGGAAACUGUUAAGCUGGAGUACUGGAGAGGCA